CCUACGGGCUGCAGCAGUGGGGAAUAUUGCACAAUGGGCGCAAGCCUGAUGCAGCCAUGCCGCGUGUAUGAAGAAGGCCUUCGGGUUGUAAAGUACUUUCAGCGGGGAGGAAGGCGAUAAGGUUAAUAACCUUGUCGAUUGACGUUACCCGCAGAAGGAGCACCGGCUAACUCCGUGCCAGCAGCCGCGGUAAUACGGAGGGUGCAAGCGUUAAUCGGAAAUACUGGGCGUAAAGCGCACGCAGGCGGUCUGUCAAGUCGGAUGUGAAAUCCCCGGGCUCGACCUGGGAACUGCAUUCGAAACUGGCAGGCUAGAGUCUUGUAGAGGGGGGUAGAAUUCCAGGUGUAGCGGUGAAAUGCGUAGAGAUCUGGAGGAAUACCGGUGGCGAAGGCGGCCCCCUGGACAAAGACUGACGCUCAGGUGCGUAAGCGUGGGGAGCAAACAGGAUUAGAUACCAUUGUAGUC
This 465-nucleotide ribosomal RNA is filed under the name uncultured bacterium. Its description in RNAcentral is "bacterial SSU rRNA". It matches the Rfam family "Bacterial small subunit ribosomal RNA", at positions 338 to 795 of the family's 1533-position model. The record is from RNAcentral.